UGGUCCUUGUGAUUCGUCCUGUCUGUCUGUCUGUCUGUCUGCAGAACAACAUGCUGCUGCUUCUUCAUGCCGUCUGGACCGGCCUCCUCUUCGCAACAGCCCGCGUUUCGGCGACGGCCACUGAGACUGUUGUGGGCGUGGCCGGGGGGGACGUCACGCUGCCCUGCCGCUGUAGGGCGGCACAGCAGGUCGGGGUGGAGGUGUGCUGGGGGAGGGGCGAGCCCUCAAUCUUCAGCUGCCACAACGCAGUUAUCAGCGGGACUGGAAACCACGUGACUUACAGACGUUCAAAAAGGUACUCCAUGUCCUCCUCCUCUUCUCUUUACAUUUUCUCCUCUCGACCAGCAGACGCUGGUUUCUAUCACUGCAGAGUUCAUCUUCCAGGCCUCUUCAAUGACCAGGUGUCGAUCGUGCACCUCCUCAUCAUCAGAAGACGCUGCUCCUCCUGCAGCUCCAACUUUAAUUUCUCAGCACCCAACCGAUGAAGACGAGGAGAACUCAGGUGCAGGACACACCACGAAGAGUGACGUCAUGGUACCAACAGGAAGUGAUGUCACAGACAGCAACAACCCAGACGUGGUGGUAGCUCUGGUUCAGUCACAGGUUCAACAGGAAAAUUCUCUGCACAUUUUCAUUGGAAACACUCUGCGAUUCUCCUUCUUCAUCUUCAUCCCUCUUUUGGUCUCAGCUUGGUUUUACCGAGUUUGGAGAUCUAACCUGAGAUUUCCAACAAAUACGAGACCAGACCAACCAGAAGACGAGGAUGAUGAUUCUGUGUGAAGAGGAGACAAUCACUGUUGUCUUCUCCAGGUUACACCACAAGGCUCUAAAUUCAGACUUGUGUUUUUCUUUGGAUUCCACUGUCGUUUCUUUUUAAAAGUUUUUUUUUUUUUAAUGUUGUCUUGCAAGUUUGUUCCAUGAAUCAGGAUUGCUUUCAAGAAAAACAUAAUCAUUCAAGUUCUGCAGGUCUGUGUUUCAACGUCUCAUUUAAAAAAAAAAAAACAGUUUUCUAAAAGAUUAUUUUUCCUUGUUUUGUUGCCAUUGUGACCACACAAUGAAAAUUGCCACUGUUUUUUAUUUUAAACUACAAUAAUGUUCUUAUGAAUAGAAUAUGCUUUUAGCACAAGAGAGCAAUUCUUGAUACAGUGAAGAAUUCAAACAUAUUAAACCUUUGUUCAUUAACCUCAUACAUCUGAACACUCUGGAUUAUUUAAAAUUUGAGAGAAAUUUAUGCUAUCAAAAGUUGAGUUUUAUUUAAGCUGAAUAGCUGCAUAGAAAGCACUGUGGUUGUUUAAAAUGAAUACAGUAGCUGAUUUUGUUAAAUUAAACAAAAAUAGGUUUUCUGUUUUUUUACUUUAACCUUAAAUUCAUGUACUGUGAGCUAAUGGUAUUGUCUCACAAGCUUAGGAGGUUCUGAACAUGAGUGCUGCUUUGACAUCUAUGUCAGUGCAUGGCUCCGCCCAUAUGGGUUUUCUGAAGAGUCAUUUUGUGUAAGAGAAUAUGAGAUUUGUGACCCUGCACAGUAGCAUUUAUGAUUUUUGCUUCUAUCUAGUCAUUUGUUAAAGCUAAGCAUUGAUUUUUUUGUUUAGUCUGCUUUGUCAGGUUUGGAUGAGGUCAAUGUGGUAUUAUACUGUACAUGUUGGGGUUUGAACCCUAGACAAGGGGACAUCAUGAGGGGCGGGCCCACUAUGUGGAGCAGCAGUGGGAGUUACACACUGUGUUGUAUUGUUUCUGUAUAUUCCAUAAGGUCCAGUCUUAAGCACGUCCCGUCCCACAGCCUUAUUUAAAAGCAAAAACUCGACAUGGUGUCAGAAGUAGGACGCAGUUAGACUGAUAGAAAAAAAAAGACCAGCGGAGCACGGCAAAAACGCAGGAUGUCAGAGGAGUAAAUUGCAGCACUUCAGCUAUCCCAACUGCUACGUUUACCAUACACACUCUAGUUUUUUGACUUCACAAAACCACAAGAAUAGUUUUGGAUUAUAUUUUUGGAUUAGACAAUUUCAGAUCGCAAGCAACCUGUGAUGUCUGAUUAAAACCAGGUAAACACGUUGGUUUACUGCAUGGGGAAUGAAGCAGAAGAUGUGCUGAGAGGGCUAAAGUUAAUGGCGGAGAAAAAGAAACAAUAUGCAUCGGUAAAAGCCGGCCUCGACUCUUUCUUUGUGCCCAAGAAGAACGUAAUUUAUGACAGAGCCAAGUUAAAUCGGCAUGUGCAACAGCCGGAAUAAACUGUGGAUUCCUUCAUCAUGACGCUUUCCGGGUUAGCCGAACACUGUGACCAUGGACAGAUAAGUGAUCUGUGACAGGUUAGUGGUUGGCAUGAGAAACAUAGCCCUGUUUAAAAAGCUACAGUUGGAUGACAGACUAACCCUGGACACUGCCAUCAUAAAAGCUAGGCAAUCUGAAGAAGUUAGGUGACAGCAGUCAGACUAAAGAGGAGAAAACAGCAGUGCUAAGUGCUCAAAUGUCGAUGCUGUUCAUGUUAAGAACUACAGAAAGCCCAGAUUUCCUGCUAAGGCUCAAAGCACAGUCACAAAUGCAGACCGAGUUCACAAAAAAUGUGCGUCCACCGCCUGCACAAAAGCAGUUCUGUUUUAAGUCAAAGUCAUGGUGUUUUAUGAAUUUGUUUUUAAAUCUUCUGUUAGUCUGGUGACCUGUCCAGGGUGUCACCUGCCUUCGCCUGCCAGUGGCCGGGAUAGGCUCCGGCAGCCCCGUGAUCCCGAAAGGGAAUAAACGGAAUAGAAAAUGAAUUAAUCUUCUGUUAGUGGGCUGAUUAUUUUAAACGUGUUUUUGAAGACCUCUAGCGGUCGCGCCAGGUAUUAUUGUUCAACAUAUUUAUUUGAAUGACCUUUAUUGAAAAGUUCACAUGUAGAAAACAGAAAGGACUGGCUAGCAUGCACACACUUCAUUUUUUGUUUUGCUUUGUUUUUCCAAUAAACUUUAUUGCACAUCUUUCAAUUUACAGAAAUUCACAUUCAGUUGCACAAUAAAGAAACAAUUGUUAAUGUCACACAUAUAAGACCAAAAAACAAUAACAGUAAUAAGCCCUG
Oryzias latipes (Japanese medaka) is the source of this 3047-nucleotide non-coding RNA. The record is from RefSeq and is a predicted model, not a curated record. Lineage: Eukaryota; Metazoa; Chordata; Actinopteri; Beloniformes; Adrianichthyidae.